AACUGGAUUUUGUUUUGUUUAUUUUUCUUUAACUUCCUUUUUUAAAAUUAUAUUUUAUGUCCUAUUAUAAGUUGUUUUGGGUCCCUUGAGUGGAAAACAUAGGGAAUAAAUUUUCCAUAUUAGGUGAGUGGAGUUUAGUAUUCCAAAGAGUGCAGGGAGAUACAAAAGAUGAAACAGGUUUUUUUCUUAAAACCCUCCCUGCAGAUUCUUUAACUGAGAGCUACAAUGGCACAGAUUUAAAAGGUGAGGUAAAUCUAUGUUCCAUAUGUGUGGAGGAUGUACUCCUUGGCUCCACAGACUGGGACGAACUGCUUCUCUGAAUUUUGGGGGAAGGAAGUGCUAUUAAAAGAACCUAAACUUUUCUUCAGUUCAUUCAUGUCCAAAAGAGAUUGAUACCAUGGAGCAUAUGUUCUUCAGGUGUCCUCUGCUUGAUAAGCCUCACAAAGACAUUUUCGACCCGACAUUGAAGCGAUUUGCUGGUAGCAAUAUCAAGCAUAAAUUAAGAUGGUUGCUAGUGAGAGUAGAUCUUAAUGAUUACAUUGUCAGUUGCCAGAUUUUGCUUAUAACUUUGUAAAUUGAAAAAAUCUGGAAAAAACGAUUAAAGGAUCUAGUGAUUCUACUUAAAUAGACGCUGAAAACUGCCAUCUUAAGUUCUUGCUAUCUCGGUUGUACUCUGCUGCUGAAAUAUAGAAAAAUUAAUGUUUUAACCAUAUUUUAUAUUGGUUAUUUAAGAUAGAUUUUAAAGUUGUUUUUUUAAUUUAAAUUGUAUUUCAAACGUUUGGUCUAAGACCACGAAUAAACUUGCUUGAUCCAUUCAUGUCCACAAGUCACUAAAAAUACCUAUAUUAUAUGGAAACCAUUUUGUAAAUUAUUUGAAAAGUUAAAUGAAGAAAGCAUUAAGGUGAAAUAAGACUGAGUGUAACUGGAUUAUACAGCCAGUAUUUAUUUGAUCAAUUUGUAUUUAACUGGUUCUGAUGGGUUUUCCGGGCUGUGUGGCCAUGGUCUGGUGGACCACAGUGUGUACAGACUUCCUUCUGUGAUACACCUCUGAAGAUGCCAGCCACAGAUGCAGGCAAAACUUUAGGAUCUAGAUCCACUAGACCACGGCCACAGCCGCCACACAGUCUGGAAAAUCCACCAGAACCAGUUGAAUCCGGCUGUGAAAGCCUUCAACAAUAAUUUGUAUUUAAUUCAUUUGUACUCUACCUUUCUUCCUGAUGACAACCCAAAGUGGCUUACUCUAUUCUUCUCUCCUCCAUUUUAUCCUCACAAUAGUCCUUUGAGAAUUAGUCUCAUACACUAAGAGAAUAUGACUGGCCCAAGGUCACCCAGGUAGCUUCGAUGGCAUGUGAGGAUUGAAACCCAGUUCUCCCAUCUACUAGUCCAACAAUGUUAAACAAUGGACCAUGGUAAUGGAAAACAGUUCCUCCUUGAUAGUCUCUCUUUUCCCUGAAGAAAUUAGCUGGAAAAGAGAAUAAUUAUUUUACGUACGAUAAACUUCACCACAAAGAAAGAGCAUGAGAUUGCUGAAUGAUUUUGAUUCCGGAACUGAUCUGCUAUAAUUUAUGGAGUGAAAAAUGUCAAAGGUUUUGCUAACCCUACAGUGGGGAAAAUGUAGACCAUAUAACAUUCAUGAAAUUGCCAGGAUUUAUAUUCUAUAUUCCUCACGAUCCUAAUGGUUACAUCUCAAUAAUUACACUGACAUUCCUGACGCUACUGUCUUGGUUCAGACAGGCAGUGAGUACAGUGGAAGUCUUCAUACAGCGCAGCAGGUAUGUGGCAUAGUGGUUAAGAGCAGGUGCAUUCUAAUCUGGAGAAACC
Molecule: long non-coding RNA, 1821 nt
Organism: Sphaerodactylus townsendi
Lineage: Eukaryota; Metazoa; Chordata; Lepidosauria; Squamata; Sphaerodactylidae
Exons: 3
Source: RefSeq, a predicted model, not a curated record